UACGUAGGUGGCAAGCGUUGUCCGGAUUUACUGGGUGUAAAGGGCGUGCAGCCGGAGAGACAGGUCAGAUGUGAAAUCCACGGGCUCAACCCGUGAACUGCAUUUGAAACUGUUUCCCUUGAGUGUCGGAGAGGUAAUCGGAAUUCCUUGUGUAGCGGUGAAAUGCGUAGAUAUAAGGAAGAACACCAAUGGCGAAGGCGGAUUACUGGACGAUAACUGACGGUGAGGCGCGAAAGCGUGGGGAGCAAACAGG
Molecule: ribosomal RNA, 253 nt
Filed under: uncultured bacterium
Lineage: Bacteria
Description: partial 16S ribosomal RNA
Rfam family: Bacterial small subunit ribosomal RNA
Source: RNAcentral